Molecule: ribosomal RNA, 349 nt
Filed under: Terebra laevigata
Lineage: Eukaryota; Metazoa; Mollusca; Gastropoda; Neogastropoda; Terebridae
Description: partial 12S ribosomal RNA
Rfam family: Bacterial small subunit ribosomal RNA
Source: RNAcentral
UACCAGAGUACUAUGAAUGUUGUAAAUUUAAAACUCAAAGAACUUGGCGGUGUUUUAGACCACUCAGGGGAACCUGUCUCGUAAUCGACAAUCCACGUUGUACCUGACCUUUUUUUGUUUUCAGUUUGUAUACCGUUGUCGUCAGGUAACUUUUUAGAAUACAGAAGUUGGCUGGAAAAAUAUAUAAUUUAGUACGUCAAAUCAAGGUGCAGCUUAUAGAAAGGGGAGGAUGGGUUACAAUUAUUAAUUUAUAAUUACGAAUGAUUAUGUUAAAGUGUAAUGUUAGAAGGAGGACUUGAAAGUAAAUUGGAUUUAUAAAAAUAAAUUUGAAUAAGGCUCUGAAACGUGU